ACCACGGUGGUCUAGCGGUUAGAACGCUGGCCUUGUAAUCCUGGGGUCUCGGGUUCGAUUCCCGGCGGUGCCA
This 73-nucleotide transfer RNA is filed under the name Zootermopsis nevadensis. It matches the Rfam family "tRNA". Rfam says of the family: Transfer RNA (tRNA) molecules are approximately 80 nucleotides in length. Their secondary structure includes four short double-helical elements and three loops (D, anti-codon, and T loops). The record is from Rfam by way of RNAcentral. Lineage: Eukaryota; Metazoa; Arthropoda; Insecta; Blattodea; Termopsidae.